CAGUGUUACUUGUCAAUUAGGUAAAUGGUGAUAAGCCUUUCAACUGCAUCACUUGUACAGGAUCCAUGCUGACUGCUUAAGUAACGUGUAUUACGUGUCAACAGUAUGUUCACACGAGCCCCCCCGCCGGUGCAACUGCUCCCUGAAGUCAUCGUGGGAUACUGUGAUGAUGUCAUAAGCCCCUCCGUUUACCGAUGAUCAUGUGCUUCCAAUAUUGAGGUUGUUGUGCACAUACUCUUAAAGGCUAAGUUGGUCAUUUCAUGAGCUCCUUGUGUUUCUCAGAAACUUCUCCUACCAGCUUCGGUCCAGAAAUACUUCUUAAAUUAUGUGCCCAUCUUCAUGGAAGAAUAUAUAUUCACUCCCUUCUACCUAUCAAUUAAUAGCAAGGAACACAGAGCACGAGAAUAAAUAUACGAACCAGCACCUUAUUAAUGAAGAGAAAGUACAGCAUGGAAGGAGAAAGAAGAGAGGGAAAUAUGGUGGUUGAUGAAGAAGAAGAGAAGAUCAACGCUUUUUACACUUUGGUUAGAAAUAUAAGAGAUGUCCAUAAUCAAAUGUUGAGUGGUUCCAAAGGGAAAGGGAAAGCGGAGGAAAAAGAAAUGAAACCAACUUGGACCCCAUCUUUCACCUGGGAAGAUUUUGCCGAGGAGGAUCAUCAUGAGCAAUUCAGAGG
RNAcentral lists this long non-coding RNA (673 nucleotides) under Populus trichocarpa (black cottonwood). RNAcentral's name for it is "long non-coding RNA (PTRI_LNC000707)". The record is from RNAcentral. Lineage: Eukaryota; Viridiplantae; Streptophyta; Magnoliopsida; Malpighiales; Salicaceae.